GGUGCUUCUUCACUUAAAUUGUACAGAAAUGUCUUCACAUAAAGUUAAUAAUUCAUUAUAUACAAUAAUUAUUCCACCAAUAUGCUUAGAAAUUCUUUAAUAUUAUUCUGCUGGACAUGAUGCUUUUUGGAAAGCAAAUGCAAAGUAUACAACUAAUUUUUAAAUAUUUUAAUAUUGCUUUAGUCAUGAAACCUAUGGAAAG
RNAcentral lists this unclassified non-coding RNA (202 nucleotides) under Hevea brasiliensis (rubber tree). Lineage: Eukaryota; Viridiplantae; Streptophyta; Magnoliopsida; Malpighiales; Euphorbiaceae. The record is from RNAcentral.